Molecule: ribosomal RNA, 430 nt
Filed under: uncultured bacterium
Lineage: Bacteria
Description: partial 16S ribosomal RNA
Rfam family: Bacterial small subunit ribosomal RNA
Source: RNAcentral
CCUACGGGAGGCAGCAGUGGGGAAUCUUGCGCAAUGGGCGAAAGCCUGACGCAGCGACGCCGCGUGAGUGAUGAAGGCCUUCGGGUUGUAAAGCUCUGGGGGAGAAGGCCCGGUAUCUCCUUAGCAAGCACCGGCUAACUCUGUGCCAGCAGCCGCGGUAAGACAGAGGGUGCAAACGUUGUUCGGAAUUACUGGGCGUAAAGCGCGUGUAGGCGGCAGGGCAUGUCGGAUGUGAAAUCCCGUGGCUCAACCACGGAAGUGCACCCGAAACUGCCCAGCUUGAGCUCGGAGAGGAAGGCGGAAUGCUUGGUGUAGAGGUGAAAUUCGUAGAUAUCAGCGGAACACCGGUGGCGAAGGCGGCCUUCUGGACGAUACUGACGCUGAGACGCGAAAGCGUGGGGAGCAAACAGGAUUAGAUACCCUUGUAGUC